GAUGAACGCUGGCGGCGUGCCUAAUACAUGCAAGUAGAACGCUGAAGGAGGAGCUUGCUCUUUCCGGAUGAGUUGCGAACGGGUGAGUAACGCGUAGGUAACCUGCCUGGUAGCGGGGGAUAACUAUUGGAAACGAUAGCUAAUACCGCAUAACAGUAGAUAUUGCAUGAUAUUUGCUUGAAAGGGGCAAUUGCUCCACUACCAGAUGGACCUGCGUUGUAUUAGCUAGUUGGUGAGGUAACGGCUCACCAAGGCGACGAUACAUAGCCGACCUGAGAGGGUGAUCGGCCACACUGGGACUGAGACACGGCCCAGACUCCUACGGGAGGCAGCAGUAGGGAAUCUUCGGCAAUGGACGGAAGUCUGACCGAGCAACGCCGCGUGAGUGAAGAAGGUUUUCGGAUCGUAAAGCUCUGUUGUAAGAGAAGAACGAGUGUGAGAGUGGAAAGUUCACACUGUGACGGUAUCCUACCAGAAAGGGACGGCUAACUACGUG
Molecule: ribosomal RNA, 496 nt
Filed under: uncultured bacterium
Lineage: Bacteria
Description: partial 16S ribosomal RNA
Rfam family: Bacterial small subunit ribosomal RNA
Source: RNAcentral